RNAcentral lists this ribosomal RNA (325 nucleotides) under uncultured bacterium. RNAcentral's name for it is "bacterial SSU rRNA". It matches the Rfam family "Bacterial small subunit ribosomal RNA", at positions 28 to 334 of the family's 1533-position model. The record is from RNAcentral.
GAUGAACGCUGGCGGCGUGCUUAACACAUGCAAGUCGAGCGAAGCACUUAAGUUUGAUUCUUCGGAUGAAGACUUUUGUGACUGAGCGGCGACGGGUGAGGUAACGCGUGGGUAACCUGCCUCGUACAGGGGGAUAACAGUUAGAAAUGGCUGCUAAUACCGCAUAAGCGCACAGGACCGCAUGGUCUGGUGUGAAAAACUCCGGUGGUAUAAGAUGGACCCGCGUCUGAUUAGCUAGUUGGUGGGGUAACGGCUCACCAAGGCGACGAUCAGUAGCCGGCCUGAGUUAGGGGAACGGCCACAUUGGGACUGAGACACGGCCCAG